UACGAAGGGUGCAAGCGUUGCUCGGAUUCAUUGGGCGUAAAGGGUAGGUAGGUGGUCUUAUUUGUCUGGGGUGAAAUCCCUGUGCUUAACUCAGGAAGGGCCUCGGAAACGGGAAGACUAGAGUACUGGAGAGGGUCGUGGAAUUCCCGGUGUAGCGGUGAAAUGCGUAGAGAUCGGGAGGAACACCAGAAGCGAAAGCGGCGACAUGGACAGUUACUGACACUCAACUACGAAAGCGUGGGGAGCAAACAGG
RNAcentral lists this ribosomal RNA (253 nucleotides) under uncultured bacterium. RNAcentral's name for it is "partial 16S ribosomal RNA". It matches the Rfam family "Bacterial small subunit ribosomal RNA", at positions 524 to 776 of the family's 1533-position model. The record is from RNAcentral.